GAGGGUAGAGCUCUGUGGUAGAGCACAUGCUUAGCGUGCACAAAGUCCUGGGUUCAAUCCUCAGUACUUCCA
This 72-nucleotide transfer RNA is filed under the name Camelus bactrianus (Bactrian camel). It matches the Rfam family "tRNA". Rfam says of the family: Transfer RNA (tRNA) molecules are approximately 80 nucleotides in length. The record is from Rfam by way of RNAcentral. Lineage: Eukaryota; Metazoa; Chordata; Mammalia; Artiodactyla; Camelidae. RNAcentral also lists the same sequence under 2 other names.